Sander lucioperca (pikeperch) is the source of this 93-nucleotide long non-coding RNA. RefSeq lists it as uncharacterized. NCBI's taxonomy places the organism in Eukaryota, Metazoa, Chordata, Actinopteri, Perciformes, Percidae. The transcript is spliced from 3 exons. The record is from RefSeq and is a predicted model, not a curated record.
CAGAACUUUUAGUGGACGAAAUUGAAGAUGCGCAUUUGCCCAUUUAUGUUACAUUGUAGUUUGUUUCAGCUGCAGUCUUGCUUAAUACUGGAC